Molecule: ribosomal RNA, 410 nt
Filed under: uncultured eukaryote
Lineage: Eukaryota
Description: partial small subunit ribosomal RNA
Source: RNAcentral
ACCAGUGAUAUUUAUUUAUUUUGCCAUCCCUGACGCCGGUUGGUUUUUUUCAGUUUUCAGUUUCUCGUUUCUCUCCAAAAUCUCCACCCUUUAGCAAGGGCUACCCAUAACCUCGACCCCAGCCUCACUUAUGUAUAGCCCUUAGAUUCAGCGACAGUAAAAGACCUCAAAAAAGUGUGACCUAUUCUCCAUAACCCUAAUAUGCUUAAUAUCACUCAACUUACUAGGGAAAUACAUUUGGAAAUAUACAAAUGUAGGCACAGACAAGUACAAUUCAUUGUACUUCCUCAAACUCCAAACUUAAGCUUUUGGGCCUAUCGUCUCAUUGUUCUGUUCUUUCAAAAAAAUCAAAACUUUUUUUUUUUGGUCAUACCAUCCAAUUUCUUGUUUUUCUCGUAAACGUCUUCACA